Molecule: non-coding RNA, 99 nt
Organism: Acanthosepion pharaonis
Lineage: Eukaryota; Metazoa; Mollusca; Cephalopoda; Sepiida; Sepiidae
Source: the annotation of a GenBank genome assembly
CAUUGAAACACUGGUUCCUGUAUGAUCAACAAAGUUAAGCAAUGCCAAGCUUGGUCAGUACCUAGAUGGGUGAAUCCUUGGGAAUACCAGGUACUACAA